ACACGUGCGACAGCCGUGAUGAAGUUCGCUUACCGGUUUUCAAAUUUGCUGGGUACGGUGUACCGGCGUGGGAACCUAAAUUUUACCUGCAAUGGAAAUUCAGUUAUCAGUCCCGUGGGCAAUAGAGUCACUGUAUUUGACCUUAAAAACAACAAAUCUGACACGCUGCCCCUGGCCACUCGGUACAACGUCAAGUGCGUGGGGCUGUCCCCGGAUGGCCGCCUCGCUAUCAUCGUCGAUGAAGGGGGCGAUGCGCUGCUGGUCAGCCUGGUCUGCAGGUCUGUGCUGCACCACUUCCACUUCAAGGGCUCUGUGCACAGUGUGUCCUUCUCCCCUGAUGGCAGGAAGUUUGUUGUCACAAAGGGUAACAUUGCCCAGAUGUAUCAUGCCCCUGGGAAGAAGCGGGAGUUCAACGCCUUCGUUCUGGACAAGACCUAUUUUGGGCCCUACGAUGAGACCACCUGCAUCGACUGGACGGAUGACUCCAGGUGCUUUGUGGUUGGGAGCAAAGACAUGUCCACCUGGGUGUUCGGAGCCGAGCGCUGGGACAACCUCAUCUACUAUGCACUGGGGGGACAUAAGGAUGCCAUCGUGGCCUGCUUCUUUGAAUCCAACAGCCUGGACCUGUACUCACUCAGCCAGGACGGAGUGCUGUGCAUGUGGCAGUGUGACACGCCCCCCGAGGGCUUGCGGCUGAAGCCCCCUGCGGGCUGGAAAGCAGACCUGUUGCAGCGGGAGGAGGAAGAGGAGGAGGAGGAGGACCAGGAGGGCGACAGAGAGACCACCAUCCGGGGAAAAGCCACUCCGGCCGAGGAGGAGAAGACAGGAAAAGUGAAGUACUCACGGCUGGCCAAGUACUUCUUCAAUAAAGAAGGGGAUUUUAACAACCUGACAGCUGCAGCAUUUCAUAAGAAGUCUCACCUCUUGGUCACUGGCUUUGCUUCUGGAAUCUUCCAUCUUCAUGAGCUGCCAGAGUUUAACCUCAUCCACUCCCUGAGCAUCUCAGAUCAGAGCAUCGCCUCAGUGGCCAUCAAUAGCUCGGGGGACUGGAUUGCUUUUGGCUGUUCAGGCCUGGGCCAGCUGCUGGUGUGGGAGUGGCAGAGUGAGUCCUACGUGCUCAAGCAGCAGGGCCACUUCAACAGCAUGGUGGCCCUGGCCUACUCGCCCGACGGACAGUACAUCGUGACUGGCGGGGACGACGGCAAGGUCAAGGUGUGGAACACCCUCAGCGGCUUCUGCUUCGUCACUUUUACGGAGCACUCCAGCGGGGUGACCGGUGUGACCUUUACUGCCACCGGCUACGUUGUGGUGACCUCAUCCAUGGACGGGACCGUGCGAGCCUUUGACCUUCACAGGUACCGAAACUUCCGCACCUUCACCUCUCCACGCCCCACCCAGUUCUCCUGUGUGGCGGUGGAUGCGAGCGGUGAGAUCGUCUCUGCAGGGGCGCAGGACUCCUUUGAGAUUUUCGUGUGGUCCAUGCAGACAGGCAGGCUCCUUGAUGUUUUGUCUGGACACGAAGGGCCCAUCAGUGGUCUGUGUUUUAACCCAAUGAAGUCCGUCCUGGCCAGUGCCUCCUGGGACAAGACGGUGCGCCUAUGGGACAUGUUUGACAGCUGGAGGACCAAGGAGACGCUGGCCCUGACCUCUGAUGCUCUGGCUGUGACUUUUCGCCCUGAUGGUGCGGAGCUGGCUGUGGCCACACUGAACUCACAGAUCACCUUCUGGGACCCUGAGAACGCGGUGCAGACGGGCUCCAUUGAGGGCAGGCAUGACCUCAAGACUGGCAGGAAGGAGCUGGACAAGAUUACAGCCAAGCACGCGGCCAAGGGGAAGGCCUUCACCGCCCUGUGCUACUCUGCAGACGGCCACAGCAUCCUGGCGGGAGGCAUGUCCAAGUUCGUGUGCAUCUACCACGUCCGUGAGCAGAUUCUCAUGAAGAGGUUCGAGAUCUCUUGCAACCUGUCUCUGGACGCCAUGGAGGAAUUUUUGAACCGAAGAAAAAUGACAGAGUUUGGCAACCUGGCACUAAUUGAUCAGGAUGCUGGGCAGGAGGAUGGAGUCGCGAUACCACUGCCAGGCGUCAGGAAAGGUGACAUGAGUUCUCGGCACUUCAAACCUGAGAUCAGGGUGACCUCACUCCGCUUCUCUCCCACUGUGAUCCGUGCAGCACUGAGUAGGUGCAGCAGAGACCACAGGGCCUGCGGAGCUGAAGACGCCUGAGCUAGACAGAAGACUUGGCUGGCUCCCGGCGUCAAGAGAGGACGACGCAUGCGUGGCGCUGCUGGGCGGCCACCACCACGGAGGGACUCCUCAUCUACUCCCUGGACACCCGCGUGCUCUUUGACCCGUUUGAGCUGGACACCAGCGUCACCCCCGGGAGGGUGCGCGAGGCACUGCGCCAGCAGGACUUCACCAGGGCCAUCCUCAUGGCCCUCCGGCUCAACGAGAGCAAACUGGUGCAGGAGGCCCUGGAGGCGGUGCCCAGGGGCGAGAUUGAAGUGGUCACCUCCUCCCUUCCUGAACUGUAUGUGGAGAAAGUGCUGGAGUUUUUAGCUUCCUCCUUUGAAGUGUCUCGCCACCUGGAAUUCUACCUCCUCUGGACUCACAAACUGCUCAUGUUGCACGGACAGAAGCUGAAGUCCAGAGCCGGGACGCUGCUGCCUGUCAUUCAGUUCCUCCAGAAGAGCAUCCAGCGGCACCUGGACGACCUGUCGAAACUCUGUAGCUGGAACCACUAUAACAUGCAGUACGCACUAGCAGUUUCCAAGCAGCGGGGCACAAAACGCUCCCUAGACCCGCUGGGAAGUGAGGAGGAGGCAGAAGCAUCUGAAGAUGACAGCCUGCAUCUGCUUGGAGGAGGAGGCAGAGACUCAGAAGAAGAGAUGCUGGCCUAGAGCCAGCCGGUUGCAGCGUUGGAUUGUGCCGGCUAAGACCUGCCAGGGAGAUGGGACCCUUGUGCCACCUGGGCCAGCAAAGAGGAGGGGUCCAGAGAACAGCUGAAAUACUGUCACUAGUGGUAGUGACUUGCUUUUCCUGUGCACACAUGUAGCCCAUCAGGACAGCGAGCCGACGGGUCACGCCAGGGGCCGGCACGCACUGGCACCUGGCCCCAGGAGCGGGGCCGUGUGAACGGUGAUGAAUGUUGAAAAUGCGUCUCAGAGAGGUAUUCACAUGAACUUUGUAUGAGACUUAUUUAUAUUUUUAACAUAAAGGUUUGAUAAAGAACUUAGGGAUUAAAAAAAAGAUGGAGUUUUCUAACGUGAGGAUGAAGUCUACACUUCAGAUUAAAAAGGGUUAUGUUGUA
Molecule: RNA transcript, 3307 nt
Organism: Homo sapiens (human)
Lineage: Eukaryota; Metazoa; Chordata; Mammalia; Primates; Hominidae
Gene name: periodic tryptophan protein 2 homolog
Exons: 22
Source: RefSeq, marked validated